AACAUAUCCAGAGGGUAUUGUCUAGUCAGCAGCUUGUACCUCUCCCAAGCUUCAUAUAAGGUCUCACCAUCCUUUUGUCUGAAGGUCUGAACCUCCACCCUAACCUU
This is a small nucleolar RNA of Arachis stenosperma, 107 nucleotides long. NCBI's taxonomy places the organism in Eukaryota, Viridiplantae, Streptophyta, Magnoliopsida, Fabales, Fabaceae. The record is from RefSeq and is a predicted model, not a curated record.